GACGAACGCUGGCGGCGUGCUUAACACAUGCAAGUCGAGCGGUAAGGCCCUUUCGGGGGUACGACGAGCGGCGAACGGGUGAGUAACACGUGGGUGACCUGCCCUCAGCUCUGGGAUAAGCCUGGGAAACUGGGUCUAAUACUGGAUAUGACUCCACGGUGCAUGUCGUGGGGUGGAAAGCCUUGUGCGGCUGAGGAUGGGCCCGCGGCCUAUCAGCUUGUUGGUGGGGUGAGGCCUACCAAGGCGACGACGGGUAGCCGGCCUGAGAGGGCGACCGGCCACACUGGGACUGAGACACGGCCCAGACUCCUACGGGAGGCAGCAGUGGGGAAUCUUGCGCAAUGGGCGAAAGCCUGACGCAGCGACGCCGCGUGAGGGAUGACGGCCUCGG
This 391-nucleotide ribosomal RNA is filed under the name uncultured bacterium. RNAcentral's name for it is "bacterial SSU rRNA". It matches the Rfam family "Bacterial small subunit ribosomal RNA", at positions 28 to 420 of the family's 1533-position model. The record is from RNAcentral.